GACGAACGCUGGCGGCGUGCCUAAUACAUGCAAGUCGAGCGAAGUUUUUCUGGUGCUUGCACCGGGAAAACUUAGCGGCGAACGGGUGAGUAACACGUAAAGAACCUGCCUUAUAGACUGGGACAACUAUUGGAAACGAUAGCUAAUACCGGAUAACAGCAUUCACUGCGUGGUUGAAGUUUGAAAGUUUGUUUUGCUAACACUAUGAUAUGGCUUUGCGGUGCAUUAGCUAGUUGGUGGGGUAAAGGCCUACCAAGGCGACGAUGCAUAGCCGACCUGAGAGGGUGAUCGGCCACACUGGGACUGAGACACGGCCCAGACUCCUACGGGAGGCAGCAGUAGGGAAUCUUCCGCAAUGGGCGAAAGCCUGACGGAGCAACGCCGCGUGAGUGAAGAAGGAUUUCGGUUCGUAAAGCUCUGUUGUUAGGGAAGAAUGAUUGUGUAGUAACUAUACACAGUAGAGACGGUACCUAACCAGAAAGCCACGGCUAACUACGUG
RNAcentral lists this ribosomal RNA (499 nucleotides) under uncultured bacterium. Its description in RNAcentral is "partial 16S ribosomal RNA". It matches the Rfam family "Bacterial small subunit ribosomal RNA", at positions 28 to 507 of the family's 1533-position model. The record is from RNAcentral.